GACGAACGCUGGCGGCGUGCUUAACACAUGCAAGUCGAACGGAAAGGCCCUGCUUGCAGGGUGCUCGAGUGGCGAACGGGUGAGUAACACGUGGGUGAUCUGCCCCUUACUUUGGGAUAAGCCUGGGAAACUGGGUCUAAUACUGGAUAGGACCAUGCUGUAGGUGGUGUGGUGGAAAGAUUAGUUUCGGUAAGGGAUGAGCUCGCGGCCUAUCAGCUUGUUGGUGGGGUAAUGGCCUACCAAGGCGUCGACGGGUAGCCGGCCUGAGAGGGUGGACGGCCACAUUGGGACUGAGAUACGGCCCAGACUCCUACGGGAGGCAGCAGUGGGGAAUAUUGCACAAUGGACGCAAGCCUGAUGCAGCGACGCCGCGUGGGGGAUGACGGCCUUCGGGUUGUAAACUCCUUUCAGCCAUGACGAAGCCCUUGUGGUGACGGUAGUGGUAGAAGAAGCACCGGCUAACUACGUG
Molecule: ribosomal RNA, 469 nt
Filed under: uncultured bacterium
Lineage: Bacteria
Description: partial 16S ribosomal RNA
Rfam family: Bacterial small subunit ribosomal RNA
Source: RNAcentral